GCAUAUCAAUAAGCGGAGGAAAAGAAACUAACAAGGAUUCCCCUAGUAACUGCGAGUGAAGCGGGAAAAGCUCAAAUUUAAAAUCUGGCGGUCUUUGGCCGUCCGAGUUGUAGUCUGGAGAAGUGCUUUCCGCGCUGGACCGUGUAUAAGUCUCUUGGAACAGAGCGUCAUAGAGGGUGAGAAUCCCGUCUUUGACACGGACUACCAGUGCUUUGUGAUGCGCUCUCAAAGAGUCGCGUUGUUUGGGAAUGCAGCGCAAAAUGGGUGGUGAAUUCCAUCUAAAGCUAAAUAUUGGCGAGAGACCGAUAGCGAACAAGUACCGUGAGGGAAAGAUGAAAAGCACUUUGGAAAGAGAGUUAAACAGUACGUGAAAUUGCUGAAAGGGAAACGCUUGAAGUCAGUCGCGUUGUCCGGGACUCAGCCUUGCUUCGGCUUGGUGCACUUUCCGGAUGACGGGCCAGCAUCGAUUUUGACCGCUGGAAAAGGGCUGGAGGAAUGUGGCACCUUCGGGUGUGUUAUAGCCUCCAGUCGCAUACGGCGGUUGGGAUCGAGGAACGCAGCACGCCUUACGGCGGGGGUUCGCCCACCUUCGUGCUUAGGAUGCUGGCAUAAUGGCUUUAAACGACCCGUCUUGAAACACGGACCAAGGAGUCUAACAUGCCUGCGAGUGUUUGGGUGGAAAACCCGAGCGCGUAAUGAAAGUGAAAGUCGGGACCUCUGUCGUGGAGGGCACCGACGCCCGGACCUGACGUUCUCUGACGGAUCCGCGGUAGAGCAUGUAUGUUGGGACCCGAAAGAUGGUGAACUAUGCCUGAAUAGGGUGAAGCCAGAGGAAACUCUGGUGGAGGCUCGUAGCGAUUCUGACGUGCAAAUCGAUCGUCAAAUUUGGGUAUAGGGGGCGAAAGACUAAUCGAACCCAUCUAGUAGCUGGGUUCCUGCCGA
Molecule: ribosomal RNA, 942 nt
Filed under: Trametes sanguinea
Lineage: Eukaryota; Fungi; Basidiomycota; Agaricomycetes; Polyporales; Polyporaceae
Description: LSU rRNA
Rfam family: Eukaryotic large subunit ribosomal RNA
Source: RNAcentral